GAUGAACGCUGGCGGCGUGCCUAAUACAUGCAAGUCGAGCGAACGGACGAGAAGCUUGCUUCUCUGAUGUUAGCGGCGGACGGGUGAGUAACACGUGGAUAACCUACCUAUAAGACUGGGAUAACUUCUGGAAACCGGAGCUAAUACCGCAUAAUAAUUUUAACCGCAUGGUUCAAGAUUGAAAGACGGUCUUGCUGUCACUUAUAGAUAUAUCCGCUCUGCAUUAGCUAGUUGGUAAGGUAACGGUUUACCAGGGCAACGAUGCAUAGCCGACCUGAGAGGGGGACCGGCAAAACGGGACCUGAGACACGGCCAAGACUCCUACGGGAGGCAGAAGUAGGGAAUCUUAGGCAAUGGGGGAAAGCCUGACGGAGAAACGCCGGGUGAGGGAUGAAGGUCUUCGGAUCGUAAAAUUCUGUUAUUAGGGAAGAACAUAUGUGUAAGUAAAUGUGCACAUAUUGACGGUAACUAAUCAGAAAGCCACGGCUAACUACGUG
RNAcentral lists this ribosomal RNA (497 nucleotides) under uncultured bacterium. RNAcentral's name for it is "partial 16S ribosomal RNA". It matches the Rfam family "Bacterial small subunit ribosomal RNA", at positions 28 to 507 of the family's 1533-position model. The record is from RNAcentral.